UUGUGAUAAUACCUCCUCCCACCGCAAGCAAGCGUGUACGCGUGCGCGCGCGCACGCGCGCACACACACACACACACACACACACACACACACACACACAUUCCAAGCAAACCCCUGGAGGCAGUUUGCAACCCUGGAAGACUACUGGUAUGGACGGUUUGGGAGGUCUGCCAAGGCAGGUCCUCUUAUGCUGAGCGUUCACAUCCCAGUCCAUGCACGUCCCCUCUAGGGAUCUACUUCAUGGCCAUUGUCCCCAUGUCAUUUGAAAGCAUCCUCAGUCUUUCUCCCCUCCUACAACACAUUGGCCUGCAAAGUGCAUAUUCUUCAGAUAAAACAGCAUUGGAAUCUCGCUCUGCUAUUCACAUGCUGUGUGGCCUUGGUAAAUCUCUUAACCUCUCUGAGUCUCAGUGUCAGCCUAUAUAAAAAGGAGCAUGACCACCUCGCAAAGCUGCCAAGAUUAAAGAGGUAACAUACAUCAGAGCG
This 483-nucleotide long non-coding RNA is filed under the name Fukomys damarensis (Damara mole-rat). Its description in RNAcentral is "lncRNA (ENSFDAG00000026145.1)". Lineage: Eukaryota; Metazoa; Chordata; Mammalia; Rodentia; Bathyergidae. The record is from RNAcentral.